UUGGAUUUCUGUUGGGACUACCUUGUUUUUUUUGGACUCUGUUUACCAGCCACUCUGCCAACCCGUUCCCGUCACCAGCCUCCCCCAACCCCCUCCGCCCAGUGCAUUUUACUUUUCCAGCUGUCGGUAAUCAUGCAGGUGCCUGAUUGGCUGACAAGGCCAGCUGCUGGCUGUUGGGAAGGCCUAUGUAAGUCCAGCUGUGGGAAGGAAGAUGGACUCUAGUCAAAAAGGAAAAGAAGACAAGCAUUUAAAAAGAAAGACGAGCUUCACGGAUGGCAGAAAGAUGCACAAUCGUUUCUUUUACUGAAAAAAAAUGUCCCUUCUCUCACAAAAGAUGCUUCCCUGAGAGGAAGCCUGUCUUUUGCAGGAAGACCCUGAUCACAUUCACACCUGGAAGCUGCCCAGUACAACCCCAGCCUGAUCUGCUGGCCACUGAGCAGAUCCACUGGAGCUGUUGGGGAUUUGGGCCUUGCUCAAGGGCACCUCGGUGGUGGUAAAUGAGGGAGGGCAAGCACCGCUUGGUUUACUUUCCGGCGAUCUCCCAGUCACAAGCUCGCUUCUCUAACUUUUGGGCCACCCCUGCCCCAUUUGGGUCACAGAAUCUGAUAGGUCACACAUUUUGGGGUCACACUGUAUCUCUGGCCUUCUGAACUUCAGACACUUCGACCAGCUAACGUUUGCUUGCU
Molecule: long non-coding RNA, 686 nt
Organism: Micropterus dolomieu (smallmouth bass)
Lineage: Eukaryota; Metazoa; Chordata; Actinopteri; Centrarchiformes; Centrarchidae
Exons: 4
Source: RefSeq, a predicted model, not a curated record